Molecule: long non-coding RNA, 210 nt
Organism: Telopea speciosissima
Lineage: Eukaryota; Viridiplantae; Streptophyta; Magnoliopsida; Proteales; Proteaceae
Exons: 2
Source: RefSeq, a predicted model, not a curated record
GUUCACACGUGCUUCUACAUAUAUGAGUUUUUUAAGUUCUGAGUUCUAACUGAGUACUUAUCUACCCAAAUCUUGAAGGGUUUUGUGAAAAUCGGCGGAGCUGGGGAAUAUUGUACCCGUGAUGGGAUUUUGUAUAUGUCCAUUGGAGACUCCGACAAGGUUAUUGUGGAGUACUAGCUUCUUUCGUCAUAAGUUCGUGAUCUUCUGAGA